UAUAUGAAAGAAAAAAAAUUUCGCGUUUCGAUUUUUCUAAAUAGAUAAAGAAGUUCGGACAGAGCUGCAAGACGACUUGGAGUUCGACCGGAAUUCUCACCGUGGAUUCCGUCAAAGUUUGAAAUUUUCACGCAUUUUAGAUUUUUCUUGCUAGAAAAGUUUGAAGAUCGGACAAAGCUGUGAGAAGAACCAGAGUUCAACUGGAGCUCUUGCCGUGGGUUUGGUCAAAGUUCGAAAAUUUCUGCCGUAUUCAUCGGGCUGGACCCUC
This 268-nucleotide long non-coding RNA is filed under the name Spirodela polyrhiza (greater duckweed). RNAcentral describes it as "long non-coding RNA (SPOL_LNC001737)". Lineage: Eukaryota; Viridiplantae; Streptophyta; Magnoliopsida; Alismatales; Araceae. The record is from RNAcentral.